UACGGAUGAUGCGAGCGUUAUCCGGAUUUAUUGGGUUUAAAGGGUGCGCAGGCGGGAGAUUAAGUCGGCGGUGAAAUUUUGCAGCUCAACUGUAAAAGUGCCUUCGAAACUGGUUUCCUUGAGUGUAGAUGAAGUAGGCGGAAUUUGUGGUGUAGCGGUGAAAUGCAUAGAUAUCACGAGGAACUCCGAUUGCGCAGGCAGCUUACUAAACCAUAACUGACGCUCAGGCACGAAGGCGUGGGGAUCAAACAGGAUUAGAUACCCGU
RNAcentral lists this ribosomal RNA (266 nucleotides) under uncultured prokaryote. Its description in RNAcentral is "partial 16S ribosomal RNA". It matches the Rfam family "Bacterial small subunit ribosomal RNA", at positions 524 to 789 of the family's 1533-position model. The record is from RNAcentral.